GCCGAAGUGGUGGAACUUGGUAGACACGCCAUCUUGAGGGGGUGGUGGGGAGACCCGUGCGGGUUCAAAUCCCGCCUUCGGCACCA
RNAcentral lists this transfer RNA (86 nucleotides) under Desulfobacca acetoxidans DSM 11109. RNAcentral describes it as "tRNA-Leu (GAG) (tRNA-Leu-GAG-1-1)". It matches the Rfam family "tRNA". Rfam says of the family: Transfer RNA (tRNA) molecules are approximately 80 nucleotides in length. Lineage: Bacteria; Pseudomonadati; Thermodesulfobacteriota; Desulfobaccia; Desulfobaccales; Desulfobaccaceae. The record is from RNAcentral.